RNAcentral lists this long non-coding RNA (1588 nucleotides) under Patiria miniata (bat star). RNAcentral's name for it is "uncharacterized LOC119719384". The record is from RNAcentral. Lineage: Eukaryota; Metazoa; Echinodermata; Asteroidea; Valvatida; Asterinidae.
CCUAAAUGCAUUUUGAGCCAAAUUUUUUUUUACAUUAUUAUAAUAUUUUUUAAUAUUUUACAUUUUUAAGCAUUACUUGUUAGGCUAAGGUCCCAGAAGCAAUUUUUGAAAGUUUGCAAGAAAUUCACAAUUUGGUUAUUUCUGAGCCCAAAAUUAUUUAUCAAAAUGGUAAGGGGUUAGCCUUGCAUUUUUAUUAGAAUUGGUUCAAAAUUUUAUUUUUCUCCAAAUUCUCCCAAAAUGCGUUUUGAGCCAAAUUAAUAUAUUUGACAUUUUUAAGCAUCACUCGUUAUUCUAAGGUCCCAGAAGCAAUUUUUAAAAGUUUGCAAAAAAAUCACAAUUUGGUCAUUUCUGAGCCAAAAUUAUUUUAUCAAAAUGGUAAGGGGUUAGCCUUGCAUUUUCAUUAAAAUCGAGUCAAAAUUUUAUUUUUCUCCAAAUUCUCCCAAAAUGCAUUUUAAGCCAAAUGAAUAUAAUCGACAUUUCUAAGGUCCCAAAAGGAAUUUUUAAAAGUUUGCAAGAAAUUCACAAUUUGGGUAAUGUCUGAGCCAAAAUUAUUUUAUCAAAAUGGUAAGGGGUUAACCUUGCAUUUGUAUUAAAAUUGGUUCAAAAUUUUAUUUUUUUUCCACAUUCUCCCAAAAUGCAUUUUGAGCCAAAUAAAUAUAUUUGACAUUUUUAAGCAUCACUUGUUAUUCUAAGUUCCCAGAAGCAAUUUUUAAAAGUUUGCAAGAAAUUCACAAUUUGGUUAUUUCUGAGCCAAAAUUAUUUUAUCAAAAUGGUAAGGGGUUAACCUUGCAUUUUUAUUGAAAUUGGGUCAAAACUUUUCGUUAUUUGAAAUAUACUCCAAAGACGCAUUGUGAGCCCCAAAAUAUAUAUGUAGUUUGAAUAUAGUUUGACAUAUAUUUUAGGCUACACCUAGUGGAUUUUUAUUAUAAGUGGGUCAAAAGGUUAACCUUCAAUGUUUCACUAAAAAUUGAUGCAAACUGACAAUUCCGAGAAUCUUUUAGAAAUGGUGUUUUUUCUGCACAAUUAACAACUAUUGAACUUUGAUAGUAUGUUUUAAGACCCAGAAAUAAUUUUUGUUAAAUUUUCGAGAAAUCAAAAUUUUAUCAUUUUUUUGAACCAAAAUUAAUCGUUGUUUUAAUCAAGUUUCCACUCUAUAUAAAAUAUAAUUAAGCGGUUUUCUACACCCAGCUCAAAAACAAAGAAAAAGUCCAAUAUAUGACUACAUGUAGGGGUUGCUUUUAAAAAUAAAAAACCUAGAUUAAAAGGGGUAUUUUACGUAAAUUUCAUAUUUUCAAAGUCUGUUGGUGAAUGUUAAUUUAUAAUUAUUCGCCCUAACAAAUAGGAUGUGAAGAGAGCUAUUUUUUAUCAAUAACAGUUGUAAAAUUUCUUUCAAAUGUACUCUAUAUCUGGUUAAUAUUUCAGAGAAAGUGCUUUUCAUUUGCUGUAUUAUGGUAAAACUUUUUAAGAGUUAACACUCAUUGUAUAAACAUUACAUUGUUACGCAUUGUAAAUUCGAUGUAUAUUUUGUACUGCAAUUUUGUAUCAAAAUUCAGGAAUAAAUUUCAAAACCAUGAAAUGGCAAGUUGAA